AGUGGACCUUCGAAAGAUUACAGCAUGUAAUUGUGCAUUUUGGUUGAUCCAAAAAAGUUCUAGAUAUCAAGAACAGAACCUGGCAAAGCAUGGAAUCAACACACACAAUGAAAAGUCUACUUGGACACUGAGAAGUAAAAUGGAAAAUACCAGAAACAUCAGAGAACGGUUGUAAGCAACGUGACACAAGAAGAAAAUCCUUUAUUGUUGCUGUUGCUGCUGCUGAGUUUUCACAGGGGACCUUUUCAGAGAAUGAGAAAUAACCAGCAAUAACUUUGCUUCUUCCUAGUUGCUAUGACAGAAACUCAAACUUCACUAGAUCCAUUUGAAUGCCCCUUCCUGUACCCAAAAUGGUAGUAGAAAAGAGGAACAUGACAUGUACUGAUAAUACUACAUGAAGGUUACUUGGAGAAAUUCAAAUGCCUCAACAUAAAAAUAAGAAUUGUCUUAAUUUAAAACAAAAUAGCCAUAAAUUCCAAAUCUACAAUUUAGCUC
Molecule: long non-coding RNA, 495 nt
Organism: Sceloporus undulatus (fence lizard)
Lineage: Eukaryota; Metazoa; Chordata; Lepidosauria; Squamata; Phrynosomatidae
Exons: 3
Source: RefSeq, a predicted model, not a curated record